UCCCAUGGCAAACUGCUCAGUAACACAUGAUCAACUUACCCUAUAGAGGAAAAUAACCUCGGGAAACUGAGGAUAAUGUUCCAUAGUUGAAUCGGCUUGGAAAAGUUUUUCAAUAAAAGGGAUAAGAAAAAUGGUUCUUAUCUGCUAUAGGAUAGGAUCGUGCUCGAUUAUGGUUGUUGGUGAGGUAAUGGCUCACCAAGCCGAUAAUCGAUAGGGGCCGUGAGAGCGGGAGCCCCGAGAUGGGUACUGAGACAACGACCCAGGCCUUACGAGGCGCAGCAGGCGCGAAACCUCCGCAAUACACGAAAGUGUGACGGGGUUACCCAAAGUGUUCUAUUUAGAACUGUGGUAGGUGAGUAAUGUCCCCUACUAGAAAGGAGAGGGCAAGGCUGGUGCCAGCCGCCGCGGUAAAACCAGCUCUUCAAGUGGUCGGGAUAAUUAUUGGGCUUAAAGUGUCCGUAGCCGGUUUAGUAAGUUCCUGGUAAAAUCGGGUAGCUUAACUAUCUAUAUGCUAGGAAUACUGCUAUACUAGAGGGCGGGAGAGGUCUGAGGUACUACAGGGGUAGGGGUGAAAUCUUAUAAUCCUUGUAGGACCACCAGUGGCGAAGGCGUCAGACUGGAACGCGCCUGACGGUGAGGGACGAAAGCCAGGGGAGCGAACCGGAUUAGAUACCCGGGUAGUCCUGGCCGUAAACGAUGCAUACUAGGUGAUGGCACGGCCAUGAGCCGCGUCAGUGCCGUAGGGAAACCGUUAAGUGUGCCGCCUGGGAAGUACGGUCGCAAGGCUAAAACUUAAAGGAAUUGGCGGGGGAGCACAC
This 818-nucleotide ribosomal RNA is filed under the name uncultured archaeon. Its description in RNAcentral is "bacterial SSU rRNA". It matches the Rfam family "Archaeal small subunit ribosomal RNA", at positions 74 to 881 of the family's 1478-position model. The record is from RNAcentral.